GUAAGAAGGGGGAUGAGGGGUCAUGUCUCUUCUCAGGGAAAGCUGGAGCCCUUCAGCAGGGUCAGGGCCCCUCACCUUCCCCUCCUUUCCCAG
Cercocebus atys (sooty mangabey) is the source of this 93-nucleotide microRNA precursor. The record is from Ensembl. NCBI's taxonomy places the organism in Eukaryota, Metazoa, Chordata, Mammalia, Primates, Cercopithecidae.